GUGGGGAAUUGUUCGCAAUGGGCGCAAGCCUGACGACGCAACGCCGCGUGGAGGAUGAAGACCUUCGGGUCGUAAACUCCUUUCGAUCGAGACGAACGGCUCCCGUGCUAAUCAGCGGGAGAGUGACGGUACCGAGAGAAGAAGCCCCGGCUAACUCCGUGCCAGCAGCCGCGGUAAUACGGGGGGGGCAAGCGUUGUUCGGAAUUACUGGGCGUAAAGGGCUCGUAGGCGGCCAACUAAGUCAGACGUGAAAUCCCUCGGCUUAACCGGGGAACUGCGUCUGAUACUGGAUGGCUUGAGGUUGGGAGAGGGAUGCGGAAUUCCAGGUGUAGCGGUGAAAUGCGUAGAUAUCUGGAGGAACACCGGUGGCGAAGGCGGCAUCCUGGACCAAUUCUGACGCUGAGGAGCGAAAGCCAGGGGAGCAAACGGGAUUAGAAACCCCAGUAGUCC
Molecule: ribosomal RNA, 450 nt
Filed under: uncultured bacterium
Lineage: Bacteria
Description: bacterial SSU rRNA
Rfam family: Bacterial small subunit ribosomal RNA
Source: RNAcentral